GACAGAGGUGCCAAGCGUUAGGCGGAAUCACUGGGCUUAAAGCGUGUGUAGGCGGAUUGGUAAGUACCUUGUGAAAUCCCACAGCUCAACUGUGGAACUGCUUGGUAUACUGCCUAUCUUGAGCCACUUAGGGGCUGUCGGAACAAAUGGUGGAGCGGUGAAAUGCGUAGAUAUCAUUUGGAACGCCAAAGGUGAAAACAGACAGCUGGGAGUGUGCUGACGCUGAGACACGAAAGCCAGGGGAGCAAACGGG
Molecule: ribosomal RNA, 253 nt
Filed under: uncultured bacterium
Lineage: Bacteria
Description: partial 16S ribosomal RNA
Rfam family: Bacterial small subunit ribosomal RNA
Source: RNAcentral